UACAGAGGUCUCAAGCGUUGUUCGGAUUCAUUGGGCGUAAAGGGUGCGUAGGCGGCGCGGUAAGUCGGGUGUGAAAUUUCGGAGCUUAACUCCGAAACUGCAUUCGAUACUGGCGUGCUCGAGGACUGGAGAGGAGACUGGAAUUCAUGGUGUAGCAGUGAAAUGCGUAGAGAUCAUGAGGAAGACCAGUGGCGAAGGCGGGUCUCUGGACAGUUCCUGACACUGAGGCACGAAGGCCAGGGGAGCAAACGGG
Molecule: ribosomal RNA, 253 nt
Filed under: uncultured bacterium
Lineage: Bacteria
Description: partial 16S ribosomal RNA
Rfam family: Bacterial small subunit ribosomal RNA
Source: RNAcentral